RNAcentral lists this ribosomal RNA (119 nucleotides) under Pteropus alecto (black flying fox). The record is from RNAcentral. Lineage: Eukaryota; Metazoa; Chordata; Mammalia; Chiroptera; Pteropodidae.
GUCUACGGCCAUGCUACCCUGAACAAGCCCAAUCUGGUCUGAUCUCGGAAGCUAAGCAGGGUUGGGCCUGGUUAGUACUUGGAUGGGAGACCACUUAGGAAGACCAGGUGCUGUAGGCA